Molecule: microRNA precursor, 207 nt
Filed under: Oryza brachyantha (malo sina)
Lineage: Eukaryota; Viridiplantae; Streptophyta; Magnoliopsida; Poales; Poaceae
Description: MIR812 microRNA precursor family
Rfam family: MIR812 microRNA precursor family
Source: Rfam by way of RNAcentral
AUUAAGUUCAUUUUUCAGUUUAGAUAUAAUGCCUUGACUCUUGAUCCUAUUUGAAAUAUUUUUGUGAUUAAUAAUUUUAUUGUUACUAGAUGGCAAAACGUGAAUACUACUUGUUGCGUGACUAAUUUUUUUAGUGUUUUGUAUAAAAUUUUUAAAUAAGACAAAUGGUCAAAGCAUUGGAUAUAUAAAUCGAAAAAUGAAGUUAUU